Molecule: ribosomal RNA, 510 nt
Filed under: uncultured bacterium
Lineage: Bacteria
Description: partial 16S ribosomal RNA
Rfam family: Bacterial small subunit ribosomal RNA
Source: RNAcentral
GACGAAUGCUGGCGGCGUGCUUAACACAUGCAAGUCGAACGAAGAGCGAUGGAAGCUUGCUUCUAUCAAUCUUAGUGGCGAACGGGUGAGUAACGCGUAAUCAACCUGCCCUUCAGAGGGGGACAACAGUUGGAAACGACUGCUAAUACCGCAUACGAUCUAAUCUCGGCAUCGAGGAUAGAUGAAAGGUGGCCUCUACAUGUAAGCUAUCACUGAAGGAGGGGAUUGCGUCUGAUUAGCUAGUUGGAGGGGUAACGGCCCACCAAGGCGAUGAUCAGUAGCCGGUCUGAGAGGAUGAACAGCCACAGUGGGACUGAGACACGGCCCAGACGCCUACGGGAGGCAGCAGUGGGGAAUCUUCCGCAAUGGACGAAAGACUGACGGAGCAACGCCGCGGGAGUGAUGACGGCCUUCGGGUUGUAAAGCUCUGUUAAUCGGGACGAAAGGCCUUCUUGCGAAUAGGGAGAAGGAUUGACGGUACCGGAAAAGAAAGCCACGGCUAACUACGUG